AAGUCGUAACAAGGUUUCCGUAGGUGAACCUGCGGAAGGAUCAUUAAUGAAGUUUUUUGGGGUUUUUAAUCUCAAAAAAUAAUUCACCUUUUGUGCAUUGUUAUCUGAUAUACUUUGGUUAGAGCUUUGAUUUCAUUUAUUGGAAUCAACUUCUCGCCGACUCUAUCCUUUCUGAGGACAGUUGGCUAUGAAGCGGCCUACCAAGGUUUUUUAUCAAACACAUUUAAUCAACUGACCUAAAAACAAAUAAUUAAAUCAUAACUUUCAACAACGGAUCUCUUGGCUCUC
This 288-nucleotide unclassified non-coding RNA is filed under the name fungal sp. Its description in RNAcentral is "partial internal transcribed spacer region". The stretch from base 1 to 46 matches the Rfam family "Eukaryotic small subunit ribosomal RNA", at positions 1786 to 1831 of the family's 1831-position model. Lineage: Eukaryota; Fungi. The record is from RNAcentral.